RNAcentral lists this ribosomal RNA (426 nucleotides) under uncultured bacterium. RNAcentral describes it as "partial 16S ribosomal RNA". It matches the Rfam family "Bacterial small subunit ribosomal RNA", at positions 354 to 796 of the family's 1533-position model. The record is from RNAcentral.
GUGAGGAAUUUUCCGCAAUGGGCGAAAGCCUGACGGAGCAAUGCCGCGUGAAGGAUGAAGGCCUAUGGGUUGUAAACUUCUUUUCUUAGAGAAGAAUAUUGACGGUAUCUGAGGAAUAAGCAUCGGCUAACUCUGUGCCAGCAGCCGCGGUAAGACAGAGGAUGCAAGCGUUAUCCGGAAUGAUUGGGCGUAAAGCGUCUGUAGGUGGCGUCAAAAGUCUACUGUCAAAGAUCAGGGCUUAACCCAGGGCGGGCAGGAGAAACUCUGAGGCUAGAGUUUGGUAGGGGCAGAGGGAAUUCCCGGUGGAGCGGUGAAAUGCGUAGAGAUCGGGAGGAACACCAAAGGCGAAAGCACUCUGCUGGGCCACAACUGACACUGAGAGGCGAAAGCGAGGGGAGCAAAAGGGAUUAGAAACCCGUGUAGUCC